GAUGAACGCUGGCGGCGUGCCUAAUACAUGCAAGUCGAGCGAACAGACGAGGAGCUUGCUCCUCUGACGUUAGCGGCGGACGGGUGAGUAACACGUGGAUAACCUACCUAUAAGACUGGGAUAACUUCGGGAAACCGGAGCUAAUACCGGAUAAUAUAUUGAACCGCAUGGUUCAAUAGUGAAAGACGGUUUUGCUGUCACUUAUAGCUGGAUCCGCGCCGCAUUAGCUAGUUGGUAAGGUAACGGCUUACCAAGGCAACGGUGCGUAGCCGACCUGAGAGGGUGAUCGGCCACACUGGAACUGAGACACGGUCCAGACUCCUACGGGAGGCAGCAGUAGGGAAUCUUCCGCAAUGGGCGAAAGCCUGACGGAGCAACGCCGCGUGAGUGAUGAAGGUCUUCGGAUCGUAAAACUCUGUUAUUAGGGAAGAACAAAUGUGUAAGUAACUAUGCACGUCUUGACGGUACCUAAUCAGAAAGCCACGGCUAACUACGUG
Molecule: ribosomal RNA, 497 nt
Filed under: uncultured bacterium
Lineage: Bacteria
Description: partial 16S ribosomal RNA
Rfam family: Bacterial small subunit ribosomal RNA
Source: RNAcentral